GAUGAACGCUGGCGGCGUGCCUAAUACAUGCAAGUCGAGCGAACGGACGAGAAGCUUGCUUCUCUGAUGUUAGCGGCGGACGGGUGAGUAACACGUGGAUAACCUACCUAUAAGACGGGGAUAACUUCGGGAAACCGGAGCUAAUACCGGAUAAUAUUUUGAACCGCAUGGUUCAAAAGUGAAAGACGGUCUUGCUGUCACUUAUAGAUGGAUCCGCGCUGCAUUAGCUAGUUGGUAAGGUAACGGCUUACCAAGGCAACGAUGCAUAGCCGACCUGAGAGGGUGAUCGGCCACACUGGAACUGAGACACGGUCCAGACUCCUACGGGAGGCAGCAGUAGGGAAUCUUCCGCAAUGGGCGAAAGCCUGACGGAGCAACGCCGCGUGAGUGAUGAAGGUCUUCGGAUCGUAAAACUCUGUUAUUAGGGAAGAACAUAUGUGUAAGUAACUGUGCACAUCUUGACGGUACCUAAUCAGAAAGCCCCGGCUAACUACGUG
Molecule: ribosomal RNA, 497 nt
Filed under: uncultured bacterium
Lineage: Bacteria
Description: partial 16S ribosomal RNA
Rfam family: Bacterial small subunit ribosomal RNA
Source: RNAcentral